RNA transcript from Larimichthys crocea (large yellow croaker), 1651 nucleotides. It is a transcript of the gene named keratin, type I cytoskeletal 18, with no coding region annotated. The transcript is spliced from 7 exons. The record is from RefSeq and is a predicted model, not a curated record. NCBI's taxonomy places the organism in Eukaryota, Metazoa, Chordata, Actinopteri, Sciaenidae.
UCCUUAGUUCCCUCUGCCUGUGUCACUUUCUAAGCCGGCCAGUAUCGGGUCUCCACAUCUCAUUUUUCAGUUCAUUCUCUGUAGUGCCUGAACUUCUCCAAGAUGAACUUCAGAAGAUCCACCGCGUAUCAUAUGCCUUCUUCCCACAUCUCCAUGACCCGCUCUGUACCCCAACGUGCUGCCAGUGUCCAUGCUGGAGCUGGUGGAACAGGCGCCCGCAUUUCUUCUGCCUCCGUAGCUUCCCUGCGUUCUGGUGCUCCAAUGGCCUCCUCUUCCUCUGCCUUCAAGGUGAGCAGUGGAAUGGGUUCCAGUUAUGGUAGCAGCGGUGCAUCUGUGGCAACUGGUACUGGGAUCAUGGGCAAUGAGAAGGGAGCCAUGCAGAACCUGAACGACCGCCUGGCCAACUACCUGGAGACGGUGAGAAACCUGGAGCAGGCCAACAAGGAGCUGGAGAUGAAGAUCAUGGAGGCUCUGGAGAAGGGGAGCCCCGACAUGAGGGACUACAGCAAGUAUGAGCCCAUCAUAGACGAUCUGCGCAGGCAGAUCUUUGAUAAGAUUUCAGAGAAUGCUCGUUAUGCGCUCCAGAUCGACAAUGCCCGCCUUGCUUCUGACGACUUCAAAGUAAAAUUCGACAAUGAGAUGGCAAUCCGCCAGUCUGUGGAGGCUGACAUUGCUGGGCUGAAGAAAGUCAUAGAUGACACUAACAUGACCAGGAUGAACAUCGAGAGUGAGAUUGAAGCUGUGAGGGAAGAACUCGCCUUCCUCAGGAAGAACCACGAGAAUGAGGUGAUGGAGCUGAGGAAUCAGAUCUCCCAUUCAGGCGUGCAAGUAGACAUCGACGCCCCCAAAGGUCAGGACCUGGCACAGAUCAUGGGUGAAGUGAGGAGCAACUAUGAGAAGAUUGCUGUGAAGAAUGCAGAAGAACUGAAACGAUGGCAUGAAAAUCAGAUUGCAGAUGUGCAGGUGCAAGUAUCACAGAACACAGAAGCUCUCCAGGGAGCCCAGAUGGAGAUAAGCGACUUAUCCAGACAGAUACAGACCUUGGAAAUUGAACUUGCGUCCCAACAGAGCUUGAAAGCCUCCUUAGAGGACACAUUAGGCAACACAGAGCUACGAAACAACAUGGAAAUGGAGAAGUACAACAACAUUGUUAUUCAUCUCGAGGAGGAGCUGACCAAAUUGCGCGCAAACAUCCAGGCUCAGACCCAAGAUUAUGAGACGCUGCUCAGCAUGAAGAUGAAACUGGAGGCCGAGAUUGCCACUUAUAAGAGUCUGCUGGAUGGUGGAGACUUCAAGUAAGAGUUAUAAAGAGGUGGAGGAGAAAAAAACAGAUCGAGGCAAAGUGAUGGUGGUGGUGGAGGCUCCAGGAUGCACUGGAUGAGCUGGCGGCCACAAUUUAAUUUGGAACAAAGAAUCUGGGACCAUCCCAACAAAGAAAGCAGAUCAACCCACAACUAUCCUUCCUGGAAAAAAAAGGCCAUGCUGGUCCAACCAUCUAAAGCCAGUUUGGAAGACCUCACACUGUGUAAACCAUAAAUGAUUUGAGCAAUUCUCAAUAAAGGCAUUCAACCACAGUGAAACAGGGCUGUUUCAAAAGUAACCACUGCCUGAUCUGUCAAAAAAAAUAAAAAUAACCACUUACUGACACAUC